CUUUCUCUUAUACUCUCCUCCGUGGCUCUUGCCUUGUCUCUCUUUCCUGUCCCCAAAACUCUGUGCCAGGAAAGACUAGAACUUGUGUGCGGAAUUGCUACGAUGUAGCGGUUAAGAGUGUGGCUCUGGGGAGCCCGGGGUGGCACCGUUGGGUAAAUGUCCCACUCUUGAUCUCAGCUCAGGUCCUGAUCUCACAGUUCCUGAGUUCGAGCUCCGCAUCGAGUUCUGUGGCGAUGGCCUGGGGGCCGCUUGGGAUUCUGUCUCUCCUUCUCUCUGCCCCUCCCCUGCUUGUGUGCCCCUCCCCUGUCUCUCUUUCUCUCUCUCAAAACAAACUUAAACAGAAAUUAAAAAAAAAAAGAAUGUGGCUCUCUUGCUUGAUGGCGUGGAGCUAAUACUCUCCAUCUGAAUGGCUCUGGGGAAGUGACUUAACCUUUCUGUGCCUUGAGUUCUCAUCUACAAAAGAGGGAUCAUAAUGCUUCCUGUUUUGUGCCCCUGUGAAGUUUCGAUAAGCUCAAGGCGCUGAAGGAGGUAGAAAAACACGAGUAAGAUGUUCAGUAAAUAUGAACUGACAUCCCCGGAUCAAAAUCUCCGUUUUCUUUAAUUUGAAAGGAUGACAAGUUGAAAGACGCUCAUCAUAGGUGAUUGAGUAACAAGAGGUCACAAAACAAUAAGUGUAAUGUAAUUUCAUGUUGUAAAAAUAGUAUCUAUAUUUACACAUGCAAAAGAGAUACAUAGAAUUUCCUAGAUUAUGGGUUAUUUAUAUCCUCCUUUGUGCUUUCUAAUUUCUCUAAAAUGAACAUAUAUUCUGUGUAAUAAACUACACUUUAAACACGCCUUGAGUACGCCUGUUUAUAUUUUGUUCUGUGCAGUGUUUAAAUUAGUGAGUUACAACACAGAGACUGUGUAUACAUGCGAGAAGACCACCCUUUGAUGUGGUCAUUUUGAUAGGGUUCAGGUUGUGGGGAGACAGCCAAAUUAGAUGGGUAAUCUCAGAGAGCUUUAGAAAUCGGAGGGGCGCCUGGGUGGCUCCUCUGGUUAAGCGUCUGACUUCGGCUCAGGUCCUGAUCUCGAGGUGCGUGAGUUCGAGCCCCGCGUCGGGCUCUGGGUGGACAGCUCGGGGCCUGGAGCCCGCUUCGGAUUCUGUGUCUCCCCCUGUCUCAGGCCCUCCCCAUCCUCAUGCUCUGUCUCUCUCUCUGUGUCUCUCAAUAAUAAAUCACCGUUAGAAAUUGGAAACUGAGGCGCAGAAACUGAAGCAAUUAGCCCUGGUUGGGGGAACGGAAAGGUCACGCGCUGCAGCUCGAGACGUGAGUCAUGAGGUGCCGUGCAGAUGCUCCAUCCGUGGAGAGGUUCCGAACUGGAGCUUUGUGGGACUCCAGCCUUCUUCAGGGAGGAACAGGCAGAAGGAUGCUGGAGGAGACACCGCUUUCCCACGGGACACCGUGUGCUAAGAGACUACGGAAGGACCCCCUGACAAGAGGUUUACAGAGCAGCCGUUGCUCAACUGGGGAAGCAGCUACGAGUGCAGGGUCUACAAGAGUGCACACAUCUGUCCCGCGAGAUGAUGCCCUCUGCCCGUGGGCUGGUCCUACAAGCGAUCCUAAAGAGAAAAGCAAACAGAGCCUCCACGCCCUGCAAAUGACAGAUGUUUAACUCCUCUGAGGCUUUGUUCUUCACCUUAAUCACAGCUACACGAAGAAAAACACGAGCAAAGGCAUCAUCCGUGAGAUGAACGCAUUGACCCUCUAGAAUAUUUAUAAUUACACAGGUACCUGGAGAUGGAGGUGGGGGUGGGUGGGAACGGGACUCACCCCCUCCUCCCUGCCCACUUAAAUUUCUUAUUUUGUCUUGCUGCAUGGUAGUAGCAGUUUGUGAUCAGAAAUCACCCAAUCUUUGGGUCAGUGUGGGCAGAAGUGACCAUGGAUACCCAUUUGACUGCAACCAUGCAGAUCUUCCCAGAGUAGAGUGGGAAAGAACUAAAUGAUGGCCGUCAUUGGCGUUUAGUGCAAUUGCGAACGUUUAAGAAACCCAGAGUAGGUAUUCAGGGCAUGGUGUUUAAUCCCUUUUGUUGUUUGUUUUUCGUUUUUGUUUUUGUUUAAAGGAGCAAAAUCCAGGGAACCAAAUCCACAGGAAGUCUCUGUGGGAGACGAAGGUCAAGUGGAAAGGGGAAAGUGGCCACUUUACGAUGUAGUGCUCCAGAGGCAAAGCAAAUUGCAUUUCGCCAGGGAGAUUUGCUUAACCCUCAGCAGGUUCAGACAGGGAAACCCAUUUGCAAAUCCCCAGACAAUGAUGGUGGAAUGUCCUUCUCCCUCCCCCACCCAACCAGGAAACCCAAUACCCUAUGCUGGGAACUCAGAAAUAAAAAGUACUUAUGUCUAGUACGGAAAACAUACAAAGGUUUCCGUACAGAUUUAAAUUUCUCAGAAAGGCAGCAAAGAGGACACCAUGACAGAUCUCUUUUUCACUGUUCCCUUGCGUUAAGAACUCUUAAGGCUGGAGGGGACUUUGUGAGCCACCCCAACCCGUGUCAUUUUACGCAGAAGUCGAGAUCCAAUCCUUUUUGGAAGAGCGAUCUCUAGUGCAAGAAUCGUAGGGGCUUUAGUGGAGCCAGAAUGUUCCAACACUCACGUUAGAAGCAGCCCUGCACAAACCACUUGGUGGAAUCACAUCCUAAAUUGUUGACAGGGACGCGGAUUGUGUUAUUGUUGUUGUCAUAGCUACAAGCUGUGCUGUCAUUUCCUGGAACCCCGGGGAGUUUUAUGGGCAGAGCUUAGUGGAAUAAUAGAGAUGUGUCUUCAGCAACUCACCGACCCAUUGGUUGAGUCCCUCCUUUCUGCUCUCCGAUCAUAGAGUUGUUUUCAUUGUCCCAUGGCAACUGCGUGGUGGUCCCUUUACUGAGCCCCGUCCCUCCUGGUUCUGGGAAAUCAUCAUCAUCCACAACCAAACUCUGACAUACCUGCUUUGUUUUAUGAGCCAAAUUUCUUAUGGUGUGUUCUUUAGGGCCCUGGUUCCUUGACAUCUUGUUAGAUGUUCCUUAACAUAAGUAUCUCUUGGCCCAUGAGGUCUGAACAUUUCGAUGUUAAACGAAUUUUGAUCGGUAUAAUUUUGAUGUGUAUAAACAUGUUUGCAUAUUAUGCUCCUCUUUAAAAAAAUGUUAAUUUAUUUUUGAGACACAGACAGAGACAGACAGAGCGUGAGCAGGGCAGGGGCAGAGACAGAGGGAGACACAGAAUCCCAAGCAGGCUCCAGGCCCUGAGCUGUCAGCACAGAGCCCGACGCGGAGCUUGAACUCACGAACCGUGAGGUCAUGACCUGAGCCGAAGUCGGACGCUCAACCGACUGAGCCACCAGGCUCCCCUUAAAUCUCAGCCAUGUUUGGAAGCGUGUGCUUCAUAUCAGCUCUGGGUCCCAGAACAGCCUGACGGAUCGUGAGGUUCCAGCCGUUCGAAAGACACCACUUUCCAGCGUCAGCUCUAAGUGUGCCUUCCAAGUCCAACCUAUUUCAGAUUCAAAACGUGCUGUGACUUCUGUUCUGGUGAAAGCUGCUGGUCCCAGGAAAGAAUGAAGCAUGUUCAAGCAUCCUUCUUUCCUUCGCUCCAUCAAGAUGCGCACCGCACAGGGAGUUCUGGGGGCAUCCCGGGGCUGGUUUGGAGGGGCUCCGAUCCGGGAGCCCCUCAUAUAGCGUCUCAGGAUGCAAAGUCCUGGGCUCGACUCCUCAAGGAUUUGGUCUUCCAGGAAGCUCGAGAAAACUUCUGGACACAGAGAUGUCUCCCUCCUGGCUAAACCUGCCUUCUCUCGCCUCUGUUCCACCCUGGGAAGUCCGGAACAGAUGAUUUAAUCUAGAUUUUUUCAACUUCAGGAAGAAACUUUGUUAUUUUGGGGACCCUUUCACCCGGGUUCAUUUUUCCUUGCCUUCUCUCCACGCACAUUGGCUUGAAUUAAGAUGUGAGUCCAAAGAGGUCAUUCGAUCUUCUGACUUUUGGGCUCAGGGCAGAGGCACAGAUGGAGUCCUGGUGGUUCUUAUGUACGAAGGGUUUUACAUAGGGGUUUGGACCCAAAGGUUGUGGUGGUAAAUGACGGAUUUUCUCUAGAAUGGCUCUUCUGCAUGUGUCUUGGGUCAACCUUCAGUCAUAAUAGAAAUUGCAAUAAAGUGAGUCAAAUGAGUAUUUUUGUUUCCCAGUGCAUGAAAGUUAUGUUUACACUAUACUGUAGCCUAUUAAGUGUAAAUAGCAUUAUGUCUUUAAAAAAAACAAUGCACUUGUUAUUUAUUUACUUAUUUAUUUAUUUAUAGUUUAUUUAUUUAUUUUGAGAGAGAGAGAGCAUGCAUGCAACCAGGGGAGGGGCAGAGAGAGGGAGAGAGAGAAUCCCAAGCAGGCUCCACACUGUCAGCACAGAGCCCAACGUGGGGCUCGAUCCCACAAACCGUGAGAUCAUGACCUGAGCCGAAAUCAAGAGUCGGACAUAUCCAACUGAGGCACCUACGCGCCCCCCAAUGCGCAUGUUUUCAUUAAAAAAUACUUUAUUGCCAAAAAAGGCUAACUAUCUGAGCUUUCAGUCAGCUGUAAUCACUGAUUACAGACCACCAUAACAAAUAUUAUAAUGAUGAAAAAUUUGAGAUGUUGAGAGAAUUACCAAAAUAUGACACAGAGACAUGAAGUGAGCAGACGCUAUUGGAGAAAUGUCACCAAUAAACGUAGACAAUGUAGGGUUGCCACAAACUUGCAAUUUGUAAAAAAUGCCCUAUCUGCCAAAGCGCAAUAAACUGAAGUGUAAUAAAACAAGGUAUGCCUGUAAAUAGAUGGGGAAUUUCAGAUUCUGGAUCCCGGAUCCCUGGAUCUCUCCUUCUCAGGGACACAACAGUGGUUUUGAGUGUAUAAGCCAAAAACAAAUGGCUUAUACAUCUGAUGACGUUGGCAGCCAAGAGCAUUUUAGAAGAGUCCCCAUUCAAUUUCCCUUUCCAGAGGUUGAACCUACCUCUGAAUUUAAUGGGUAAUUAUUUUUCAGUAGGAACAUGUACUUCCAAAUAAAUAAGCACUGAACUUUUGAAACUGUCCCAUGGCUUAAUUGGAAUGCAGUUCAAGCUGUCAUCACCCAAGAGGCCAGAAUUAAAUUCUAGGGAGAUAAGCAUUUCCUGUCUGACUUCCCUCAUGGAGUAGGCUUCGUGCUGUGUGAACAGCGGGAAGGAAUGGGCAAUGUUGGUUUCUAUAUUUGACCAGGAGAUGGCACCAUCUGGAAACCUAUCUCCACAUCUCACUAGAAACAAGGAGUUUCUGUUUUUCACAGGGAGGUCAAAGAUGCAAAGCAGAGCUGGAAAAAAACCAAAUAUCGUAAAAGACCAUAAUUCAUACAGUGAAGAUUCUUGCUGUCUCUG
Acinonyx jubatus (cheetah) is the source of this 5368-nucleotide long non-coding RNA. RefSeq lists it as uncharacterized. The record is from RefSeq and is a predicted model, not a curated record. Lineage: Eukaryota; Metazoa; Chordata; Mammalia; Carnivora; Felidae. The transcript is spliced from 4 exons.